GACGAACGCUGGCGGCGUGCCUAACACAUGCAAGUCGAACGGAAAGGCCCGGCUUUUGUGGGUUUCUCGUUUGGCGAACGGGGGAGUAAAACGUGAGUAACCUGCCCUUGACUUUGGGGGAACUUCAGGAAACUGGGGCGAAUACCGGAUAGAAGAUCCUGCUGCAUGGUGGGGGUUGGUAAGUUUCGGCGGUUGUGGCUGGACUCGCGGCUUAUGAGCUGCUUGGUGGGGUAGUGGCUUCCAAAGGGUUUGACGGGUAGCCGGCCUGGGAGGGUAGCCGGCCACCUGGGGCCUGCGGUACGGCCCAGACUCCUACCUGCGGCAGCAGUGGGGAACCUUGCACAGCGGGGGGACGCCUGAUGUGGCGACGCCGCGUGCGGGAUGCCGGCCUUCGGGUUGUAAACCGAUUUCGCCUUUAACGAGGCCUGCGUGACGGUAAUGGGUCAAGAAGCCCCGGCUAACUACGUG
This 468-nucleotide ribosomal RNA is filed under the name uncultured bacterium. RNAcentral's name for it is "partial 16S ribosomal RNA". It matches the Rfam family "Bacterial small subunit ribosomal RNA", at positions 28 to 507 of the family's 1533-position model. The record is from RNAcentral.